Papaver somniferum (opium poppy) is the source of this 1972-nucleotide RNA transcript. RefSeq lists it as uncharacterized. The record is from RefSeq and is a predicted model, not a curated record. NCBI's taxonomy places the organism in Eukaryota, Viridiplantae, Streptophyta, Magnoliopsida, Ranunculales, Papaveraceae. The transcript is spliced from 8 exons.
UUUGUUUUUGUGGUCCGGGAUGUGUGCAAGUGGGUGAGUGUGGGUAAAUAAGAAUUAUUUUUUUCCAUUAAAAGUAACGAAAACCAACCGAUAAUUACUCUGUUUGAAUAACUUGCCUGUUUUUGGGUUUUCUUCUCCGAUGAGGGUUAGGGUUUGCUUCUUCUGGAUAUCGGCUUCUGAUGCAUCUAUAUCAUUACUAUCGGAUCCACUUGUAUUGUUUUCCUUCUCAGUUCUUAGAUAGAUCUGGUUUACUGUUGUUAUUUUCUUUUCGGAUAACAUGGAGGGAAAAAGAGAUCUAGAGGGUUGCGUUCAUGUCAAGAACAGGCAAGUGAAAGCUCCACAGGAAAAAGAAUCUGCAGUACUGUGAGAUUUCUGCAAAGAGUAACUACGUAUCUCGCCAGGAAGCGUGCAGGGUACUGUCAACAACUAUGCACCUCUGACCGAUAAAAAAAAAAACAACUAUGCACCUCCUUUUCUGCUCUCUUAGGUGUUGCUUCUCUAGCUUAUUGUGAUGUUACUAAUUCAUUGAUGUGCAGUGAUGCCAAUCUCCACUUUCUUGAGUCACCUGCACUUGCUCCCCCAGAGGUUUCAAUGGAUAUGGAGGCACAGCAGAUGCUCCUCACACACUUCUUGCUAUGGGAAAAGUUGAACGGAUGCAUCCAGAUUCGGGGACUGACCCGCUUGGGAUCUUGCGACCUCCAAGCAAAUUAACUCAUCAGCUUCCUUUGAUAUUCAGAUCACAGUAAGGUCCUGUACUGUCUUAAUAAGUUAUUUGACAUAGUCGAAGUGACUAAACCAAUUGCCAGUCGUUCCACAUCUGCAGAAACCUAGAUUGUGGGUUAUAAAUAUAAAGCCCCUGCGAAGAUUGAUACCCGUCUGUUCCACAUCUGCAGAAACCUAGAUUGUGGGUUAUAAAUAUAAAGCCCCUGCGAAGAUUGAUACCCGUCUGCUCGAUGUGAAGUAUUUGUUUGAUGUUGAACAGGAAAAACCUAAGGUGAAGGACAUUUUCUGGAAACCAGUAACAAAUGCCCGAACAGGUAUUAGUGAAAUCAGUGCCAUUCGGAAAUCAGUACCAGCUCAUGGCAGUGUAAUUCAUGAUAUUACAUCCAAAUCCCCGAACAUUUUCUGAAAUCAGUACCAGCUCAUGGGGGUGAUACUGUUAGGUGGAAACCUACUAAUAAUGGUUUAUUUAGGGUAAAAUCUGCAUAUAGGGUUACUCAUCCUUUGCCAGAAUGGGUGCUGGUUUAGAGCAACAAAGGAGAAGAAUGGACUCAACUUCUAAUGAGCCCUUAUUUACUAAUUGCACCUGAGAAUUUAUUGGCACCCAUGAUUACAUGUUUUGCACAGAUGGAAGCUGCAAAGAUUGCUUACAUGAGAAACUGCUGGCUUGCAAGAAAGGAACCACAUCCAUGUGAUGUCUUUAAGGCUAAGCUGUUGAAGAACUUGAAAGGCCAUGCCUCUACUGUAAGGACUGAAUCUAAAAAGGUUCUGAACUGUUUUCUGCUGAGGACCAAGGAGGCAUCCUCAGGUGCAGCCAAGAUGGGGUUGAUCGCAUUGAUGCCAACACGGGCAUUAGAGCUUGUGUUGGUUUCGGGUGGGGUGCACAAACUUACCAUCAAACUGGUCAAUGGAAUCAGGUGCAGAGGAAGCACUUUGAGACUGUAGAAGAACUUCGUAGGAAGCUACUGCUCAAGGACGAGAAUAAAUCCGAUGAACAGGCUGAGAAGAGCAAGGAGAAGAACACCGAGAACAAGAAGAAAGGUUGAACACCUAUUAUGUUGGUUUACUUUAUGUUGGUUUUGGGUCCUUGCCACGGAUUACUUGAAAUUUGCAGACUUAAAAUAAUUUUCUUAAUUUGAUGUUUUUAAUUUUUGAUUAGAUAUUUGUUCUUAGCACUAGGUAUCACAGGGGCUUACACCCAAACUUGUAUUACAUUUCUUACCUCCUUAUAAUCUGAAGAUCCUUUCUGCUA